This 405-nucleotide ribosomal RNA is filed under the name Blastocystis sp. Its description in RNAcentral is "SSU rRNA". It matches the Rfam family "Eukaryotic small subunit ribosomal RNA", at positions 551 to 989 of the family's 1831-position model. The record is from RNAcentral. Lineage: Eukaryota; Bigyra; Opalinata; Blastocystidae.
GAAGCGGGGGGGGGACGUCGGAUAGCGUAUCCUAACGUUGUUGCAGUUCCACAUCUCGUAGUUGAAGUGAGGGAGUGUGUAGUAGGACCGACUUGAUCGGAACUGCUCCAACCUCCCCCUUCCAAUCGGUGUAGUGGGGUAUUCAGUUAUUUCACUACUCCUUUGGUCGUUCACUGUGAGAAAAUUAGAGUGUUCAAAGCGGGCGUUUGUUUGAAUAGAUUAGCAUGGAAUAAUGAUUGAAGGCUUUCGUGUUCGAUUUGAUUGGUUUGUUCAUGGAAGCAAGGUUAAAAGGAACAGUUGGGGGUAUUCAUAUUCACUAGUUAGAGGUGAAAUUCUCGGAUUUAUGGAAGAUGAACAGGUGCGAAAGCAUUUACCAAGGAUGUUUUCAUUAAUCAAGAACGAAAG